CUCCGCCCCGGAAGUCUCUAGGAGCGAGGGGUCGUAGGACUCCUCCCCCGCCAAGCUCUCGGAGCACGCGCACUGAGCUGCGGACGGCCCGCCUUGCUCCGCCCUUCGCUCACCGCGUACUCAAAAGUAGAGCCCGGGUAAUGGGGCAGGUCCUCUUGCGGCGCCAACGGCUUUAAGGAGCCAGUUAGAGCGGCGGGAAAGACAUAGCAAAAACUGUGAAA
This is a long non-coding RNA of Mustela erminea (ermine), 221 nucleotides long. RefSeq lists it as uncharacterized. The record is from RefSeq and is a predicted model, not a curated record. The transcript is spliced from 2 exons. Lineage: Eukaryota; Metazoa; Chordata; Mammalia; Carnivora; Mustelidae.